UUUUGCAGAACAAAUGAUAUCUGUUUGCCUUAAUCUUUCCUAUGCAGGUUAUCCAGGACAUUCUGGACUGUGAAUGAAAAGGAAAAAGACAGAAAGAUGGAAGCAGAGAAAGUAGAGAAAAGACAGGAAAGAGAAGAGGAGGAAGCAGAGGACAAGAGGCAGCAGCCCAGCUCAAUUUAUCCAGAAAGAAAUCUUUCAUAUCUCUGACUGUGAAGUGCAAACCACACUCCAGAAUUUCAGAGCUUGAUUAGAGGAAGGAUGGUCCAGCAAGGGAUAGAAUGGUUGGCUUUCCUUGAAUAUUACUAAAGAGUGUCCCUGGUAAGACUAAACAUUACCAAAUCAACCUGCCAUCAUGGUUAUACCCAAAGAUAAAAAGUACAGAAGCCAUCUGAGAUGAGAGAGAUCAGAAAAAGAUCAACUCUUCCUCAAUCCCAGGAUGUGCAGAGCCAUCCCUUUCUAAUUACCUCACAAGGGACCCAGAACCAUUAACCAUCAUCCCCUCCAAACGCUGCCCCUCCCCCCAACUGGGCGCUGACCAAACAGGAACAAAGGGAAAAGGCAAGAUGUAACCACAAGCUUUAAGCCUAUGGCAUUAUUAUUAUAACCAGUAGGAGAAGAUUUUCGACUACCCUUGUAAAAAACUUAAUAAAUAUAUUGAAAAGAACU
Molecule: long non-coding RNA, 666 nt
Filed under: Suricata suricatta (meerkat)
Lineage: Eukaryota; Metazoa; Chordata; Mammalia; Carnivora; Herpestidae
Description: lncRNA (ENSSSUG00005008930.1)
Source: RNAcentral